GACGAACGCUGGCGGCGUGCUUAACACAUGCAAGUCGAACGGAAAGGCCCUGCUUUUGUGGGGUGCUCGAGUGGCGAACGGGUGAGUAACCCGUGAGUAACCUGCCCUUGACUUUGGGAUAACUUCAGGAAACUGGGGCUAAUACCGGAUAGGAGCUCCUGCUGCUUGGUGGGGGUUGGAAAGUUUCGGCGGUUGGGGAUGGACUCGCGGCUUACGAGCUCGUUGGUGGGGUAGUGGCUUAGCAAGGAUUGGACGGGUAGCCGGCCUGAGAGGGAGACCGGCCACAUAGGGACUGAGAGAGGGCCCGGACUGAUACGGGAGGCAGGAGUGGGGAAUGUUGCACGAUGGGCGGAAGCCGGAUGGAGCAACGCCGCGUGCGGGAGGACGGCCUUCGGGUGGUAAGCAGCUUUCGCCUGUGACGGAGCGUGAGUAACGGAAAUGGAAAAGAAGCACCGGCUAACUACGUG
This 467-nucleotide ribosomal RNA is filed under the name uncultured bacterium. RNAcentral describes it as "partial 16S ribosomal RNA". It matches the Rfam family "Bacterial small subunit ribosomal RNA", at positions 28 to 507 of the family's 1533-position model. The record is from RNAcentral.